This 639-nucleotide ribosomal RNA is filed under the name Staphylococcus aureus. RNAcentral's name for it is "partial 23S ribosomal RNA". It matches the Rfam family "Bacterial large subunit ribosomal RNA", at positions 1601 to 2241 of the family's 2925-position model. The record is from RNAcentral. Lineage: Bacteria; Bacillati; Bacillota; Bacilli; Caryophanales; Staphylococcaceae.
CACACUGCCGAGAAAAGCCUCUAGAUAGAAAAUAGGUGCCCGUACCGCAAACCGACACAGGUAGUCAAGAUGAGAAUUCUAAGGUGAGCGAGCGAACUCUCGUUAAGGAACUCGGCAAAAUGACCCCGUAACUUCGGGAGAAGGGGUGCUCUUUAGGGUUAACGCCCAGAAGAGCCGCAGUGAAUAGGCCCAAGCGACUGUUUAUCAAAAACACAGGUCUCUGCUAAACCGUAAGGUGAUGUAUAGGGGCUGACGCCUGCCCGGUGCUGGAAGGUUAAGAGGAGUGGUUAGCUUCUGCGAAGCUACGAAUCGAAGCCCCAGUAAACGGCGGCCGUAACUAUAACGGUCCUAAGGUAGCGAAAUUCCUUGUCGGGUAAGUUCCGACCCGCACGAAAGGCGUAACGAUUUGGGCACUGUCUCAACGAGAGACUCGGUGAAAUCAUAGUACCUGUGAAGAUGCAGGUUACCCGCGACAGGACGGAAAGACCCCGUGGAGCUUUACUGUAGCCUGAUAUUGAAAUUCGGCACAGCUUGUACAGGAUAGGUAGGAGCCUUUGAAACGUGAGCGCUAGCUUACGUGGAGGCGCUGGUGGGAUACUACCCUAGCUGUGUUGGCUUUCUAACCCGCACCACUUAUCG